CGUCGUGAGACAGUUCGGUCCUUAUCCUCUGUGGGCGUAGGAAACUUGAGGGAUUCAUUCCUUAGUACGAGAGGACCGGGAAUGACGCAUUUCUGGUGUGGCAGUUGUAAUGCCAGUUGCAGCGCUGCGUAGCCAUGUGCGGAAGAGAUAAGCUCUGAAAGCAUCUAAGAGCCAAGCUCCUCCCAAGAUAAGGUUUCCCGAACGCAAGUUCUUAAAGGCCCCCGGCAGACUACCGGGUCGAUAGGUCAGACGUGUAAGCAUAGCAAUAUGUUCAGCGGACUGAUACUAAUAGGCCGUGAGGCUUGAUCUA
RNAcentral lists this ribosomal RNA (310 nucleotides) under Verrucomicrobiota bacterium. RNAcentral's name for it is "Verrucomicrobia bacterium (gut metagenome) partial 23S ribosomal RNA". It matches the Rfam family "Bacterial large subunit ribosomal RNA", at positions 2617 to 2925 of the family's 2925-position model. The record is from RNAcentral. Lineage: Bacteria; Pseudomonadati; Verrucomicrobiota.